Molecule: unclassified non-coding RNA, 337 nt
Filed under: soil metagenome
Description: partial contains 5.8S ribosomal RNA, internal transcribed spacer 2, and large subunit ribosomal RNA
Rfam family: 5.8S ribosomal RNA (bases 6-121)
Source: RNAcentral
GAUGAAAGAACGCAGCGAAAUGCGAUAAGUAGUGUGAAUUGCAGAAUUCAGUGAAUCAUCGAAUCUUUGAACGCACAUUGCGCCCCUUGGUAUUCCAUGGGGCAUGCCUGUUCGAGCGUCAUUUGUACCUUCAAGCUUUGCUUGGUGUUGGGUGUUUGUCUCGCCUUUGCGUGUAGACUCGCCUUAAAAUAAUUGGCAGCCGGCGUAUUGAUUUCGGAGCGCAGUACAUCUCGCGCUUUGCACUCAUAACGACAGCGUCCAAAAGUACAUUUUACACUCUUGACCUCGGAUCAGGUAGGGAUACCCGCUGAACUUAAGCAUAUCAAUAAGCGGAGGA